Triticum aestivum (bread wheat) is the source of this 1327-nucleotide long non-coding RNA. RefSeq lists it as uncharacterized. The record is from RefSeq and is a predicted model, not a curated record. The transcript is spliced from 5 exons. Lineage: Eukaryota; Viridiplantae; Streptophyta; Magnoliopsida; Poales; Poaceae.
GACCAAAGGCAAUGAGGAUACAGACAGGGAUUGAGCCAAGGCGAUGCGAGGCGCGCGAUUCAAUCUACCGGAGUUGCAGGUGCGCGAUGGGAUCGGCCGGGGGCACCCACUACCACUCAUAUCCUCGUCGGCUUCUCCCUUCCCUCAGGCCUUCCAUGCCCUCAUCCGCCCAUCCACCCCCGGCGGCUCCAGGAGGAGCACCACAACCGCAGGCAUCGGCGGCGGCACGCCAUCCACACCGCGCUCGCGCUCCACCGGCGGCCCCUUCAGUCCCGAGCCCAACUUGCCGCCGUCGGCUGCGGCGGCCAGGCCGCGCCUCUCCUUCCACCUAGGCUGCUUCCACCGGUCCCGAGAUCCGCCGACAUCAACCCGUCGUCCAGCACCGGGUGCCUAAGAUCGGCACGCCUCCUACCGAUGUGAGUUUCACUUGGAAUUAUUUUUUUCAGCUGUAGGAUGAAAGUGAAAUACGUUUGCCGAAAUACAUCUCUACUUUCUUCGUGAUCUGGCAGUGUUCAGCGAUUUUUGAAUUCAGUAAAAUAGCAUUUUUUUUCAACAAGAGAUGGAUAAAUAGGUCGAUAUAUACUCGCAGGCAGUACAGUUCUGGGAAUACUACUGCUAAUGAAUGUUUAAUCUCUUCUCCACAAACUUGCUUCAUAGGUCUUAUUUCUUUUUUCAGAAUCUUCACAAUUCUGUUUGGUCUAAUGUAUACUUGCAGGUUUAUCUCGAUGAAAAGGCUCUUUCAAUAUUACGCAGAUGCUUCAACUUUUUUUAAUCUAUAGUGGAUAUCGUCUAAUACUACUUUCCCAUUAACUGGUAUUUUCAUAUGGCUGAAAGAAUCAACUGCUAGAGAUUUCAGAAAUUGUUCAACUGCGUAGUUUUUGGUUAUGUCUUUUUCGAUCAGCGACCCGGACCAGUGCCAUGGCAACGAGUGUGUCCCCCUACCACGACCUUCAACUUGAGUGGCAGAUCCCACCAUGACUUGGCAGUGCCGCUGGUGGAACCGGCGUCCGUAGGCGAGCAAUCAUCCAGAUGGCCGUCACGCUUCCGCCCAACAGAGAUGGAGAAAGGAGCUGAUUGCAGGGCACUAAAAUAUAUCUUGGCUGCCAAAGCUCCGUGAUCACUUACAAAUAUAUAUUAUCCAUGUAGGCUGGGUUAUCUGGGAUCAAUUACAACAAGGCACUUGGAUAUUGUUUAUAAAGUCUAUGACGGAGGCAUUGGAAACCAAGUGAAGAGCAAGGUUACUGUCAAGGAAUUCAAGAGGGAGAGAAGAGCCAUGGAGGAGCUACUUCGGCUCACCCUGCCUGCUAGUACAGGACACCAUGUAAGG